GGUGUGUAGGGCAACGAGAGCCUCCUGUAAACACUGACCGCCUUCUUCCUCAGUUUCUACUGGUUUCCCAGUUCAUGGUAGAAAGUGAUGGAAUAGGUGUCGUCAGACCUCAUAACCUGGUACAAACCUGAACUUCUAGGGGACACAUUGGGAACCCAGAUCGUUACAGAGGUAGCUUUGGAGGUGGAGAGCCCAGCCAUGUAGGAGAGUCAGAAAGGAGCUACACACUACUGCUUGGCCUCGUCUGGCAUGGUGCUUCAGUGGAGAACCUGGAAGAUUCAGGAAUGUGGAGGAAGCUCUAUGGUUUUGCCACCAGAAUAAUGCUUUAACCCUGCUGCGCUGUACUCCUGCAAGUGUUCAGAUGUUGCAAGAGCAGGGAGAAGGCAUGUAAAUACCUACACAGAUUCCAACAGUAUCACUCAAAGGCACUGGAGUGCUGAAUACUCUACAAACACUGGGAAAAUGAAACAGAAGUACUGGAGUUACUGGCAGACUGAUCCUGUACCCAAGGAAGGCAAUGACAGUUUCCAUAACCCAUGACUAUACCCUGGAAGCCAAGAUUCUGCCUGUUUUGCUUAUGCUCAGUAUUAGAAUAUAUCUUACUGAUAUCAGUGCAGUUCUCAUGGCAUACCUUGAUGUAAGCAAGACUGACAAAGGUGGUCACCAGGCCACUCAUUCCAUUCUUUUUGGUCAAUUAUCUUUCAGGAUGUUCUAUAACAUGUUUGGUUUUGGUCCAUGAUACUAAAAAAGGAUUCAGUAUGGGAGGUGCUUUCCCUGCCAUAGGGUUAGCUGAAUAGAGCAACCUCGUCCUAUUAUCUUGGCUCCAGCAAAGGAUCAUAUGCCAAUCUUUAAAGGGAACAAACAACUUCUGUCCCUGUGCUUACUGGAGUCCUUACAACGCUUCUGUCCCAGCAUUCCCGUGGGAGAAACCAGCUUGAGUCCAUGUCCACACAUGUGAGAACAUUCCCUUGGCUAUUUCUUUCUCUGAGGAUUAGUGGCAUUUGAUUUGCUUGGUAAUAACAGUACUUGAGUAGAUAAC
This is a long non-coding RNA of Pipra filicauda (Wire-tailed manakin), 1039 nucleotides long. RefSeq lists it as uncharacterized. Lineage: Eukaryota; Metazoa; Chordata; Aves; Passeriformes; Pipridae. The record is from RefSeq and is a predicted model, not a curated record. The transcript has 4 exons.